Molecule: long non-coding RNA, 3357 nt
Organism: Lepidothrix coronata (blue-crowned manakin)
Lineage: Eukaryota; Metazoa; Chordata; Aves; Passeriformes; Pipridae
Exons: 9
Source: RefSeq, a predicted model, not a curated record
GGCUCGGGGCUCGGGUUCUCCGGUCCCCGCCACUUCUGCGGGCUCCGGCUCCGGGCGCCGCGAGGCCCGAGGGAGCCCCCCGCGCUGGCGGCAGGCGCGCUGUGCCCCUCGUGCAUCCCAGGCUCCCGCUCUGUCUCCCGCUGCCCCCGACAUCCCUCCUGUCCCGGGAGGGCGGGGGGAGGCAGAGCUCCUCUCCUGUGCCGCCCGCUCCCAAUCCAGGACAGGCCGCGCUCCCGCCGGCUCCUCCGUUGCCGUUUCGGGAGAAGUGAUGGGACAGGCUCGGCGUUGCAGGGUCCUGAAAAAAAACGGGCACUUGCCAAACUGCGGACCAGAUGUGACUGAGGAGACUCACUGCAGUAUCUCAUAACUGGAAGUCGGAGGGACAAGGGUGCUUCUGAACAGCAGAGCUGGGGAGAAUGGAAGAAACUCUGCCUUUCUACAGGCAUAAAACCCAGUGGCUGUCUCUUGGCCAGUGUUCCUGAUUUUCCAGUAAGCUGUGUGCUGCACGGAGGUGUAGAACCCUAAUGGCUUGUUGUAUGCCAUUAAAAGAGCAAGUCAGACUUCUGUGGGCUUUCAAAACCAAAUGAAUGAUGGUCUUGACCAGCACUGCGGUGUUGCUAAUGACCUCAUUGCUGACCACAGCUGCUGGCAGUCAGGCUCCCAUUGCCGCUGCAUUGCUGAUAGAAACACCAAUUUUCUUUGAAUCUCAGAGGCAGAUGUGCAGAUGGGAGAGAAGCCGUGGUGCUGUGAGCAGAGUCCCAAGUUUUUAUCAGUGUUUUUGCAGAGUGGAACUGGAAGUUGCUGACACACUCCAGGCAAUAACAUUGAGCACAGGGAAAAGUGCCUGCAUCAGUGGCACAGGGAGAGCAGGUUGUGGCACAUGAGUAAUGUGAACAGGAGUACGUUGCCAGGGCAACAGAGUGUAAGCAGGAGCACAGCACCUUGCAGAUCACAAAGGCAAAGCUGCAGAAAGAAAUUUCAGCGAGUUUCUCUCUCCCUUUUGCAAUGUAAUGACGACUUAUUUUUCAUGCACUGAUUUAAUAAUCUUAUUGAAAGAUCCUUUCCCUGUUUCUCUUAUUCUUGUCUGUCUGGGCGCGGACAAUGGUAAAAACCUGGAAUUGUCAAGCCCACUGGGCUCAGCAAACUAACAGAUGUAAUAUGUUUAGCAUUUUUAUGUAAUUACUUUUUAUUGCUAUUUUACCCCUACUUCUAUUCCUCCCCGGUUAGAUGCUGCUUCCCUUCCAUUCCAGCCCAAUCAGGGGAUGGAGAGGGGCUGGGGGAGAGUUGGUAAUUGACGGCAUUAAUCGGGAAUUAUUAGUGGGACGUGUUUUCAGGGGUGGGGGUUGGGUGCAGAAAGAGACCUUUUAGGAAGGGUGAAUUGAAUUAUGGGCGAUGCAAUAAUGAAGCCUCUGGGCUGUGAGCUGCAGAGGACACUCAUCCUCACAGAGCUCUGAGUGUUAUUUAUCAUGGGCUCUGCUCUGUGGGUGAAAAACAGUGCGUUGCCCUACUGACAUCCUCUGGGUGGGGGAGGUCUCAACUAGCUGGGCUGAAAAUGAAAAAAAAGCUGAUUUCGGAUGAUUAAAAAUGGAGAUCUUCGAUGUUGGUUACACAGGGAGCAGGAACGCUGCUACCAAACCCUCGGCAGGGCGCAGUUUGUGACCAGUCUGUCUCUUGUAAACAUUUUGCUUGUUCUUUCCCAAGGGCCAGGGCUGGGGAAGGAAGCGUGGGAAAAGCAAUCUUUGCAGGCUGCAGAACUGAAGGUGGGGGAAGGCUCUGUGAGAUGAAGUACAAACCCCGGGUUGUCUCACUGCGGCUGAAAAAUUCCAAGAAGUUGGGAACAAAGGCUGUCUGUCACCUGAGCUCAGCAGUGCUGGGGCACUGCGUGUGGCAGGUCUCCGGCUGGCACCAGGAAGCAGCAGGAUGUGUGGGUUUGGAGGGCUGACAGGGCAAGGCUGAGGGAAAGGGCACUGGGAUAGGGGUUUGCAGCCUCAGCUGAGAAUAUCACAGUUUUGUGGUGUGAAUUCAUGCUCAUUGAUGUUGCUGACAUGGAACCUUUGCUUUAGGAUGCCAGUUCUUUAAAGGACAGCACAUAGAUUUACAUGUUCUGCAUUUUGCAAAAUAGUUACAUAAAAUAAUACAUAAUAAUAUAUAUAAAAUAAUAUAUUUUAUAUAUGUAACUAAUAUAUAAAAGCCAAGCAGCAUUCUCCCUACAGGAUUACCUUGUGCCAAACAUUACUGGUUUUCUCUGAGUUAGCAUUUCACAAGUCACUGUGAAUGUGAGAUGUUCCCUGAACCAGGGUUUCAUGGAACAACAAAAACUGCUUUGAGGCACAUUGCAGAAAUGGCUGGAAGCUGGAUUCAGGAGUGGGAGGUGGUUCUGCAGAGAGCGACAGGGACCAAACCCUUGGACCAGGUGUGGAGACAGUUGCCUGCAAGAGAGGAGAAAAUUCUGCUUGGAGACCUGGGCGUGAGGCCCAUAACUCAUGGAUUUCCUGCGUCUCCAGAUAAGCAUUUACACCUGAGACAUCAGAGUCCAGGGAGUGAAGAGCAGCCUGGCUGCAGGGACAAGGGCAUGUGGAUGUGGCUCUGUUCAGAGUGAGCAGAAAAGCCAGGAAUGAAGAAGCAGCCUGUUGCUUUGGCAGUGUUUGAGGAAAGAUCUCCCUUUCCCAUGGCUUCAGAGAGUUGGAGACAAGGUCACCCUGGUCUGAGGAAAGCUUCUGGAAAUCCCAAAUCAGACUGACCCUGCAAGAUCUGUCCAUCAUUCAAAUUUAGAUGAAAUCACUUUCCAUGUUGCUUUCACUGACAUUUAGGAUUUUUUUUUGUUUGUUAUUGGCUGGUUUCUGUGAAAUCCAACAGCUCUGCUCCUCUAAGCUCUAGCCAAGAAAAUCUCCACCGUUUUUGUCCUCUGUGCAGAAUCUAAUUUCAUAGAAACUGAACAUAAAAUAUGUAGAUACAGAAUCUCCUUAAAGCAGUCUUCUAUGAAGUCUGCAGGAAGGCAGCUGACUGCAACCAGACUGGGCCACAGAAAGAACUCUGGGACAAGGUGCACUUGCCAACUGCCAGGCAGUGGACAAUAUUUCUAUUUUUUGUUGGCUUAGGAGACUGCAUUUUUGGCUCCUUAAAGCAAUUCUGGACAAGAAACUAUUUACUGGAUCUUCCUGUACAAUUUUUAAUUUUUUUUUCUGUUUUAAUCAUAAUAAAUUUUAAAAUGUAGAAAGUCAAAAGGAUUAUUAUCUGUUCUUUGUAAGACUCUAUGGGGAAGCCCAAAGUUGAAGCAAGGUGGCAGAACCUGUACUUGCUUCAGGGGGAAGCAGGGUUAUUGCCAUGACAAUAUAGAAAGGUUUACCUUUGUACCCA